Molecule: ribosomal RNA, 468 nt
Filed under: uncultured bacterium
Lineage: Bacteria
Description: partial 16S ribosomal RNA
Rfam family: Bacterial small subunit ribosomal RNA
Source: RNAcentral
GACGAACGCUGGCGGCGUGCUUAACACAUGCAAGUCGAACGGAAAGGCCCUGCUUUUGUGGGGUGCUCGAGUGGCGAACGGGUGAGUAACACGUGAGUAACCUGCCCUUGACUUUGGGAUAACUUCAGGAAACUGGGGCUAAUACCGGAUAGGAGCUCCUGCUGCAUGGUGGGGGUUGGAAAGUUUCGGCGGUUGGGGAUGGACUCGCGGCUUAUCAGCUUGUUGGUGGGGUAGUGGCUUACCAAGGCUUUGACGGGUAGCCGGCCUGAGAGGGUGACCGGCCACAUUGGGCCUGAGAUACGGCCCAGACUCCUACGGGAGGCAGCAGUGGGGAAUAUUGCCCAAUGGGCGGAAGCCUGAUGCAGCAACGCCGCGGGCGGGAUGACGGCCUUCGGGUUGUAAACCGCUUUCGCCUGUGACGAAGCGUGAGUGACGGUAAUGGGUAAAGAAGCACCGGCUAACUACGUG